AGUAACUAUGUUCUGCAGGAGGGUUAUUUUGUAGUCAUUCUGUUGAUCUUCUUAUGUUAGCUCUAAAUAUAAUUGCUCGGUUUGUAAUCAUUCUUUCUCAUAUAAUUACAAUGAAUAUAAUGAUUCCUACAAUAGAAAUUGUAGACCCAAUUCUUGAUACUACGUUUCAUGAUGUAUAUGCGUCUGGGUAGUCAGAGUAUCGUCGAGGUAUUCCUGCUAAUCCUAGGAAGUGUUGAGGAAAGAAUGUUAAAUUUACUCCAAUGAAUAUAAUUGUAAAUUGGAUUUUUAAUCAUGUAUUAUUUAUAGUUAAUCCUGUAAAUAGUGGAUAUCAUUGAAUGACACCUCCUAUAAUUGCAAAUACUGCUCCUAUAGAUAAUAUAUAAUGAAAGUGGGCUACUACAUAAAAUGUAUCAUGUAAUACAAUAUCAAGUGAUGAAUUUGCUAAUACUAAUCCUGUUAAUCCACCAAUUGUAAAUAGGAAAAUAAAUCCUAGAGCUCAUAAUAAUGGUGGAUUGAACUUGAAUUUAGUUCCAUAUAAUGUAGCUAAUCAUCUAAAUACCUUAAUUCCUGUAGGUACAGCAAUAAUUAUUGUUGCUGAUGUAAAAUAUGCUCGUGUGUCAACAUCCAUUCCUACUGUAAAUAUAUGAUGUGCUCAUACAAUAAAUCCUAUUAGUCCAAUUGAUAGUAUAGCAUAAAUUAUACCUAGUGUUCCAAAUGAUUCAAUUUUUCCUCUUUCUUGACAUACAAUAUGUGAAAUAAUUCCGAACCCCGGUAGAAUUAAAAUAUAAACUUCUGGGUGUCCAAAGAAUCAAAAUAGAUGUUGAUAUAGAAUUGGGUCACCUCCUCCUGCAGGGUCAAAGAAUGUUGUAUUUAAAUUUCGAUCUGUUAAUAAUAUAGUAAUAGCUCCUGCUAAAACUGGAAGUGAAAGAAGGAGAAGUAAUGCUGUAAUAGCUACAGAUCAUACAAAUAAAGGUGUUUGAUCUAAAGUUAUACUUUCUGAUCGUAUAUUAAUUGCUGUUGUAAUGAAAUUCACUGCACCAAGAAUAGAUGAUACACCUGCUAAGUGCAGUGAAAAAAUAGCUAGAUCUACAGAUGCACCCCCGUGUGCAAUAGCUCCUGCUAGAGGAGGGUAAACUGUUCAUCCUGUACCAGCACCAUUAUCUACUAUAGAAGAUGUAAGAAGAAGGGUUAGUGAAGGUGGUAGUAAUCAAAAACUUAUAUUAUUUAUUCGUGGAAAUGCUAUAUCUGGUGCACCAAUUAUUAGUGGAACAAGACAAUUACCAAAUCCACCAAUUAUAAUAGGUAUUACUAUAAAGAAAAUUAUUACGAAUGCGUGAGCUGUAAUAAUAACAUUAUAAAUCAGGUCAUCCCCAAUUAGAGAUCCGGGUUGGCCAAGUUCAGCACGAAUAAGUAUUCUUAUUGAUGUUCCUACUAUUCCUGCUCAUGCUCCAAAUAUGAAGUAUAAAGUACCAAUGUCCUUAUGGUUUGUUGAGAAUAAUCAUUUUUG
This is a long non-coding RNA of Schistocerca gregaria, 1507 nucleotides long. RefSeq lists it as uncharacterized. NCBI's taxonomy places the organism in Eukaryota, Metazoa, Arthropoda, Insecta, Orthoptera, Acrididae. The record is from RefSeq and is a predicted model, not a curated record. The transcript is spliced from 2 exons.